UACGAAGGGGGCUAGCGUUGUUCGGAAUCACUGGGCGUAAAGGGCGCGUAGGCGGCUUGAUAAGUCGGGGGUGAAAGCCUGUGGCUCAACCACAGAAUUGCCUUCGAUACUGUCGAGCUUGAGACCGGAAGAGGUAAGUGGAACUGCGAGUGUAGAGGUGAAAUUCGUAGAUAUUCGCAAGAACACCAGUGGCGAAGGCGGCUCACUGGCCCGGUACUGACGCUGAGGCACGAAAGCGUGGGGAGCAAACAGG
This 253-nucleotide ribosomal RNA is filed under the name uncultured bacterium. RNAcentral describes it as "partial 16S ribosomal RNA". It matches the Rfam family "Bacterial small subunit ribosomal RNA", at positions 524 to 776 of the family's 1533-position model. The record is from RNAcentral.